CUCUCCUCUGGAGUUUUGCAGUGAGCCUAGGACAUGGGUAAGACCGUAACCCAUAUGGAAGGAGAGAGAAGAAUACUGGAUGUGGCUGUGUUAUCUUGAAUGAGAGUGAUGUGUCAACUGAUGGUAGUUAGCUGUGAAACAAAAGGUGGACAUUAUGCAGUUAAGAAUCCCAAUGCUUGCCUGUUUCUCCCUGGCCCUAUGAACAAGAGGCAGAGUGUAGGUUUUAUAAGCAACAGGAGUAAAAUCAAAUUUCUAUGGCAAAGAGGGGAGAGAAAAAAAAAAAGAUACUGAGCGCAUCCCAGAGUGAAGAGUCCUUGAGGCAACUGCCAGAACAGCAAGGUGGAAGAGGACCUUUUUGAUGAAUUUUGAACAGUUAGGAUGAAUUGCCUUUGAAGCUCAUUGAAACAUUUUCAAAUACAUACACUGGCAUGAAGUCUUCUGAACCUUCAGGAAACCCCUCUGUCAAUGGUGCCCAACAUCCAUGGGCCAAUGGGAGCAGUCUGGCAAGCAACACAAUACAAUGUCUCUCUGUGUCCUUUACAAAAAUUUCUUUGACUUUCUUGUGAUUAUGAACAGCAUUGGCCUAAAGGAACAUUUGAGUUCACUACAAAACCAGCAUUUCUAUUUAUGUGUGAAGCAACUGUUAUUUCAAAACAGUUUUCUGCUUUGCAGCAGUGAUUCACAGAAAAUAGAUGGGUGGAAGACUAUAAAUAUGUAUGCUGAAAUGAGUCUGUCUCACCAUCUCAUUUCAAAAUUAAAGCAUGCUGCUUUAUAAAAGAAUAGGCACUAAAGGAAAGUCCAAGAUAUUGGAUAAUGGAAGCUCACCUCUUUAUUCAAAAAUGGACCUAAGCAGUCAAUACUGUGAUGCUUCUGUGAUAUAGAAGUUUUGAACAAAGGUGCAUUACCUUAAAUAUAAUUUAGUGUGAUUUUUGGCAAAAAAAUUCCUAACAUGCUGGAAAGUGGUGGUAUUGGUUGUCACUAUGUGAAUAGGUGCUAGGGUGUUGAUUUUGAUUCAGUCUUGUGUUGUAUUGCCUCCAACCAUCUUGUCAGAUAAAAAGACAGAUACUGGGGUUAUAGCAGUCUUAGGAUUAAACACACCUCUCAUCCUCAUGCUGUUUUAUAAAUGCCUAGAUCUGAGAAGGCGUGGAUUUGAUUUUAUUUUCGCCCAUGUCUGUAUUGAGUAUGUUAAGGGGAAGACAAAAUAUUUUCCUGGUUUGCUUCAGAAAAUGGUUGACUUAUUCAAAUAACAACUGCUAUAGGCAGACUUUAAUGGUAACUGUUUCAAAAGUUUUAUUUUUUUUCCCUGAUAUGUUUUGAAUGGUUUGUGCUUUUUAUGCAUUCACAGAUUCAUUUUUACAACUAUUGUAACAGAUUUUCACAGAAAUUAGUACUAUAUUAGUAUUGAUUAGUAGCAAAUGCAAUGCCAUAUGUAAGCAGCAUGCUGACUGCUCCCAAACAGAUAACUAUUCUCUAUAGGAAAACAAGGGAAAUAUAAAAACAAGUUUCUGUACACUACUGCACAAGUGUUGGUGCUCUUAAGCUUUCUGAAUAUUGAUUGAAAAGGAGAAUCUGGGUUUGUGGAGCCUCACCAGCUUCCUGCUCUGAUGCAAAUAACCUGAAUGACCUUGGCACCACAUUGAGCAUCCCUGCUUUCACCUAAAGAGUAGAGUAGUAACAGACUUGAGGCCAGGUGUGCAGUAACAUAGCUUACACAGUCACCUUCUGUCUUAUCAAUAUUAUCUGGAGGGAAUACAGAUACUACUGCAUGACAAUAUUCUUUUUCCCCAUUGCUCUACGCACUAUCCUAGGAUGAAGUAGACAGUUUCAGAAACCAAU
Long non-coding RNA from Tympanuchus pallidicinctus (lesser prairie-chicken), 1836 nucleotides. RefSeq lists it as uncharacterized. Lineage: Eukaryota; Metazoa; Chordata; Aves; Galliformes; Phasianidae. The record is from RefSeq and is a predicted model, not a curated record. The transcript has 3 exons.